Molecule: long non-coding RNA, 510 nt
Filed under: Heterocephalus glaber (naked mole-rat)
Lineage: Eukaryota; Metazoa; Chordata; Mammalia; Rodentia; Bathyergidae
Description: lncRNA (ENSHGLG00000042869.1)
Source: RNAcentral
UUUUUUUAAAUGAAAGGCUAGACUUGCUCCUCAGCAGCGGGGCGCUGCGCGACGGGGUCGGAGCUGACUCGCAGCAGCAGGAAAUCCCUCCGGUCGCCGCGACGCCUAGCCCCGGCUCGGCGCCCGCGUGGGAUGCUGCAGCGCUCGCGCUGGCCCUGAGAGCUGCUGCACCGAAGGCCGGCGACCAUGGCAGCGCUCCCGCCGCCCGCGUCCCCCGUCCGCGCCCGCGCCCUCCUGCUCUCCCUAGCCGGGGCUCUGCUCGCGCCCCGCGCGGCCCGAGUUACACGUGUCGCCCGGAAUGGAGCGUGUGGGUCCUCUCACUGAUCCUGUACGAUAGUGAGUCUCCAUCACAGCCUCUGGGCCAACCCUGCCCGAGGGUUUCUUUCCACCCCUGUGUCCGGCUGUGAUGCACUCGAGGGACGCGCAGUAGCCACGCAGGGAAACUCAUGGUACCUUUGCUAGUUCAGCAACUUGAAUUUGCCCUUGUGCGUGGAAGACACAGAUUCUCAG